GGAGAGUUUGAUUAAUGCCACUUAGACCUCGUGCUGAAUCAGAGUUUUAAGAAAAACGAGCCGUGGAAGCUGAAUCUAAGGUAGAAGUGAUCGGAGUUAAGCUGCAAAUGUUUGUAGCAACCCGGAGUUAUUUGAGAAUAGUUCUCAAAUGAAGAAGAGUUGAGAUUUGAGACCUUGAGAUUGAGAACAGAGUAGAGGAGGAAGAAGAAGAGCAGUAAUCGUCG
Molecule: unclassified non-coding RNA, 224 nt
Filed under: Hevea brasiliensis (rubber tree)
Lineage: Eukaryota; Viridiplantae; Streptophyta; Magnoliopsida; Malpighiales; Euphorbiaceae
Source: RNAcentral